GCCAGACUCCUACGGGAGGCAGCAGUGGGGAAUAUUGCACAAUGGGGGAAACCCUGAUGCAGCGAUGCCGCGUGGAGGAAGAAGGUUUUCGGAUUGUAAACUCCUUUUAUCAGGGACGAUAAUGACGGUACCUGAAGAAAAAGCUCCGGCUAACUACGUGCCAGCAGCCGCGGUAAUACGUAGGGAGCGAGCGUUGUCCGGAAUUACUGGGUGUAAAGGGAGCGUAGGCGGGACGGCAAGUCAGAUGUGAAAACUGAGGGCUCAACCUUCAGACUGCAUUUGAAACUGCUGUUCUUGAGUGAAGUAGAGGUAAGCGGAAUUCCUAGUGUAGCGGUGAAAUGCGUAGAUAUCACGCAGAACUCCGAUUGCGAAGGCAGCAUACCGGCGCUCAACUGACGCUCAUGCACGAAAGUGUGGGUAUCGAACAGGAUUAGAUACCCGAGUAU
RNAcentral lists this ribosomal RNA (446 nucleotides) under uncultured bacterium. RNAcentral describes it as "bacterial SSU rRNA". It matches the Rfam family "Bacterial small subunit ribosomal RNA", at positions 330 to 793 of the family's 1533-position model. The record is from RNAcentral.